Small nucleolar RNA from Malania oleifera, 90 nucleotides. RefSeq annotates it as small nucleolar RNA snoR114. The record is from RefSeq and is a predicted model, not a curated record. The transcript has a single exon. NCBI's taxonomy places the organism in Eukaryota, Viridiplantae, Streptophyta, Magnoliopsida, Santalales, Ximeniaceae.
GAGCGGUGACGACAACCGCGCUUAAUGUGAAGAUGGGUCUAUCACACACCGUCAGAUCUUCAUCGGAUGACAACAGGCGCUUCCGAGCUC